GACGAACGCUGGCGGCGUGCUUAACACAUGCAAGUCGAACGGUAAGGCUCCAGCUUGCUGGGGUACACGAGUGGCGAACGGGUGAGUAACACGUGGGUGACCUGCCCUGCACUUCGGGAUAAGCCUGGGAAACUGGGUCUAAUACCGGAUAGGACCAUGGUGUGGAUACUGUGGUGGAAAGUUUUUUCGGUGUGGGAUGGGCCCGCGGCCUAUCAGCUUGUUGGUGGGGUAAUGGCCUACCAAGGCGGCGACGGGUAGCCGGCCUGAGAGGGUGGACGGCCACAUUGGGACUGAGACACGGCCCAGACUCCUACGGGAGGCAGCAGUGGGGAAUAUUGCACAAUGGGCGGAAGCCUGAUGCAGCGACGCCGCGUGGGGGAUGACGCCCUUCGGGUUGUAAACUCCUUUCACCAUCGACGAAGGGUUUCUGACGGUAGAUGGAGAAGAAGCACCGGCUAACUACGUG
This 466-nucleotide ribosomal RNA is filed under the name uncultured bacterium. RNAcentral's name for it is "partial 16S ribosomal RNA". It matches the Rfam family "Bacterial small subunit ribosomal RNA", at positions 28 to 507 of the family's 1533-position model. The record is from RNAcentral.